CCCAUUUAGUGCGUGUUUUGGUGGCUCUGAUACUCCGCUCAUCGAGUAAUUUUUAUUUUUUCGUUAAAUAAUUCAUGUUAUUAUAGAAAACAGCCUUUUAAGUGGAGCUGCAGCCAGUGUACGAGUAUGAAAAAACAUUGAAAUUGAACAUUGAAUAUUUUGCUUUUGUUCGAGUUCUGCUUUCUUUUCUCGUCGGUCGGCCAUUUUGGAAAGGAAAGGUCUUUCACCGGCACCCAAUGCACAAAAUCAAAGGGCAGCAAAUGUCGGUUUAUCUCUCGGAUGCCAUUAAGGUAGCGCUCAUACUCAUCCAUUGACAGCUGCGUGAGGUCAAUGGCUGAUUCUGAUUGCGAUGCUCCUUCUGGUUCUCCCCUCUCGGCUUAAAUUUUAAUUACAGAAUUUUUGGGGUAAGAAAUGAUUUAAAUAAAGGUCAAGUCUUGGUCAGAGAUCCAACGCAACAUCAUUCAAUAUGCAGUUGGUGGCCUAAAACAAAGGCUACUGGUUCGGACAGAUAACAGCAGAACAUUUGGAGCAUUUGAAAACAGAUUUUUCAUGUUUGGAAAUCAGUAAAUAGAAAUAUAUCUAAACGA
Long non-coding RNA from Drosophila pseudoobscura, 587 nucleotides. RefSeq lists it as uncharacterized. Lineage: Eukaryota; Metazoa; Arthropoda; Insecta; Diptera; Drosophilidae. The transcript is spliced from 2 exons. The record is from RefSeq and is a predicted model, not a curated record.